Molecule: ribosomal RNA, 207 nt
Filed under: uncultured bacterium
Lineage: Bacteria
Description: partial 16S ribosomal RNA
Rfam family: Bacterial small subunit ribosomal RNA
Source: RNAcentral
CGCGCAGGCGGUCGUGCAAGUCGAGUGUGAAAGCCCCCGGCUCAACUGGGGAGGGUCACUCGAUACUGCUCGACUCGAAGGCGGGAGAGGGAAGUGGAAUUCCCGGUGUAGUGGUGAAAUGCGUAGAUAUCGGGAGGAACACCAGUGGCGAAGGCGACUUCCUGGCCCGUUCUUGACGCUGAGGCGCGAAAGCUAGGGGAGCAAACG